This 355-nucleotide ribosomal RNA is filed under the name uncultured bacterium. RNAcentral's name for it is "bacterial SSU rRNA". It matches the Rfam family "Bacterial small subunit ribosomal RNA", at positions 527 to 881 of the family's 1533-position model. The record is from RNAcentral.
GUAGGGGGCAAGCGUUAUCCGGAUUUACUGGGUGUAAAGGGAGCGUAGGCGGCGGAGCAAGUCAGAAGUGAAAGCCCGGGGCUCAACCCCGGGACGGCUUUUGAAACUGCCCUGCUUGAUUUCAGGAGAGGUAAGCGGAAUUCCUAGUGUAGCGGUGAAAUGCGUAGAUAUUAGGAGGAACACCAGUGGCGAAGGCGGCUUACUGGACUGACAAUGACGCUGAGGCUCGAAAGCGUGGGGAGCAAACAGGAUUAGAUAUCCUGGUAGUCCACACCGUAAACGAUGAUUACUAGGUGUUGGAGGAUUGACCCCUUCAGUGCCGCAGUUAACACAAUAAGUAAUCCACCUGGGGAGU